Molecule: ribosomal RNA, 206 nt
Filed under: uncultured bacterium
Lineage: Bacteria
Description: partial 16S ribosomal RNA
Rfam family: Bacterial small subunit ribosomal RNA
Source: RNAcentral
UGUGUAGGCGGUUUUCUAAGUUUGGUGUGAAAUCUCCCGGCUUAACCGGGAGGGUGCGCCGAAAACUGGGAGACUAGAGUGCGGGAUGGGAGAGUAGAAUUCCUGGUGUAGCGGUGAAAUGCGUAGAUAUCAGGAGGAAUACCGGUGGUGUAGACGGCUCUCUGGACCGCCACUGACGCUGAGACACGAAAGCGUGGGUAGAAACA